UACGGAGGAUCCGAGCGUUAUCCGGAUUUAUUGGGUUUAAAGGGUGCGCAGGCGGAAUAUUAAGUCGGCGGUGAAAGUUUGCAGCUUAACUGUAAAAUUGCCGUUGAUACUGGUAUUCUUGAGUGUAUAUGAAGUAGGCGGAAUUUGUAGUGUAGCGGUGAAAUGCAUAGAUAUUACUCAGAACACCGAUUGCGAAGGCAGCUUACUAAUCCACAACUGACACUGAGGCACGAAAGCGUGGGGAUCAAACAGGAUUAGAUACCCCGGUA
This 269-nucleotide ribosomal RNA is filed under the name uncultured prokaryote. Its description in RNAcentral is "partial 16S ribosomal RNA". It matches the Rfam family "Bacterial small subunit ribosomal RNA", at positions 524 to 792 of the family's 1533-position model. The record is from RNAcentral.